This 1925-nucleotide ribosomal RNA is filed under the name human gut metagenome. RNAcentral describes it as "bacterial LSU rRNA". It matches the Rfam family "Bacterial large subunit ribosomal RNA", at positions 29 to 1977 of the family's 2925-position model. The record is from RNAcentral.
UGCCUUGGCUCUCGGAGGCGAUGAAGGACGUGAUAAGCUGCGAUAAGCUUCGGGUAGGUGCAAAUAACCUUUGAUCCCAAGAUUUCCGAAUGGGGCAACCCGGCUGGUAGAAGGCCAGUCAUUCCGUAAGGAAGGCGAACGUGGGGAACUGAAACAUCUAAGUACCCAUAGGAGAAGAAAACAAAAGUGAUUCCGCAAGUAGUGGCGAGCGAACGCGGAACAGCCCAAACCGAUGAUGUUUAGGCAUUGUCGGGGUAGUAGGACCACGUUGUGGCAAGAGAUUAAGGAAGUAGAACGUUUUGGAACAAACGGCCGUAGACGGUGAAAGCCCAGUAUACGACUCUUUAACGAAGCCUAGUGGAAUCCUGAGUAGCGCGGAGCACGAGAAAUUCUGUGUGAAUCAGCGGGGCCCAUCCCGUAAGGCUAAAUACUCCCGAGAGACCGAUAGCGAACCAGUACUGUGAAGGAAAGGUGAAAAGCACCUCGAACAGAGGAGUGAAAUAGUCCCUGAAACCGUCUGCCUACAAGCGGUCGGAGCAACGUAAGUUGUGACGGCGUGCCUUUUGCAUAAUGAACCUACGAGUUACUUUCUCCGGCAAGGUUAAGGGCUUCAGGCCCGGAGCCGAAGCGAAAGCGAGUCUUAAUAGGGCGUGAUAGUCGGAGUGAGUAGACGCGAAACCAAGUGAUCUACCCUUGGUCAGGAUGAAGGUUGGGUAACACCAACUGGAGGUCCGAAUGGGUAUACGUUGAAAAGUGUUCCAAUGAACUGAGGGUAGGGGUGAAAGGCUAAUCAAACUUGGAGAUAGCUCGUACUCCCCGAAAUGCAUUUAGGUGCAGCCUUUAUUUAGUAUAGCAUGAGGUAGAGCGACUGAUUGGAUGCGAGGGCUUCACCGCCUAUCAAGUCCAGAUAAACUCCGAAUGCGUGCUAUAUAUUGAUAAGGAGUGAGGGCGCGGGUGCUAAGGUCCGCGUCCGAGAGGAGAAGAAUCCAGACCAUCAGCUAAGGUCCCCAAAUAACAGUUAAGUUGAACUAACGAAGUCGGACUGCAGAGACAGCUAGGAUGUUGGCUUGGAAGCAGCCAUUCAUUUAAAGAGUGCGUAACAGCUCACUAGUCGAGGAGUCCGGCGUGGAUAAUACUCGGGCAUAAACUGUUUACCGAAGCUAUGGAUGUAGAAAUACAUGGUAGGGGAGCAUUCCAACGGCGUCGAAGGUGAAGGAUGACCUUUGCUGGAGCUUUUGGAAACGCAAAUGUAGGUAUAAGUAACGAUAAAGGAGGUGAGAAACCUCCUCGCCGAAAGACUAAGGUUUCCUGAUCAACGUUAAUCGGAUCAGGGUAAGUCGGGACCUAAGGUUAAGCCGAACGGCGAUACCGAUGGAAGAAUGGUUUAAUAUUCCCAUACUACUUUAUGGAGCGAUGUGGAGACGGAGAAGUGAAAGUCCUGCCAUCUGACGGAAUAGGUGGUUGAAGAGUGUAGAUGUAGAUUCCUGUAGGCAAAUCCGCAGGGAGAGUCGACCUUGAUAGUAUGCCGCGUGCUUGCACAAGGCAAAAUGGACGUAAUCAGGCUCCCAAGAAAAUCCGCUAAGCAUAUUCAUAAAGUACCCGUACCGUAAACGGACACACGUAGUUGGGUUGAAAAUACUGAGGCGCUCGAGUGAUUCACGGUUAAGGAACUAGGCAAAUUGACCCUGUAACUUCGGGAUAAAGGGUCCCUACUGAGAGGUAGGGCGCAGAGAAUAGGUCCAGGCAACUGUUUAACAAAAACACAUGGCUGUGCGAAAUAGAAAUAUGAAGUAUACAGCCUGACACCUGCCCGGUGCUGGAAGGUUAAGAGGAGAGCUCAUCGCAAGAGAAGGCUUGAAUUGAAGCCCCAGUAAACGGCGGCCGUAACUAUAACGGUCCUAAGGUAGCGAAAUUCCUUGUCGGGU